RNAcentral lists this ribosomal RNA (766 nucleotides) under Streptomyces sp. RNAcentral describes it as "bacterial SSU rRNA". It matches the Rfam family "Bacterial small subunit ribosomal RNA", at positions 119 to 896 of the family's 1533-position model. The record is from RNAcentral. Lineage: Bacteria; Bacillati; Actinomycetota; Actinomycetes; Kitasatosporales; Streptomycetaceae.
GGGCAAUCUGCCCUUCACUCUGGGACAAGGCCUGGAAACGGGGCCUAAUACCGGAUAUGACGCGGGAUCGCAUGAUCUCCGCGUGGAAAGCUCCGGCGGUGAAGGAUGAGCCCGCGGCCUAUCAGCUUGUUGGUGGGGUGAUGGCCUACCAAGGCGACGACGGGUAGCCGGUCUGAGAGGGCGACCGGACACACUGGGACUGAGACACGGCCCAGACUCCUACGGGAGGCAGCAGUGGGGAAUAUUGCACGAUGGGCGAAAGCCUGAUGCAGCGACGCCGCGUGAGGGAUGACGGCCUUCGGGUUGUAAACCUCUUUCAGCAGGGAAGAAGCGAGAGUGACGGCACCUGCAGAAGAAGCGCCGGCUAACUACGUGCCAGCAGCCGCGGUAAUACGUAGGGCGCAAGCGUUGUCCGGAAUUAUUGGGCGUAGAGAGCUCGUAGGCGGCUUGUCGCGUCGGAUGUGAAAGCCCGGGGCUUAACCCCGGGUCUGCAUUCGAUACGGGCAGGCUAGAGUUCGGUAGGGGAGAUCGGAAUUCCUGGUGUAGCGGUGAAAUGCGCAGAUAUCAGGAGGAACACCGGUGGCGAAGGCGGAUCUCUGGGCCGAUACUGACGCUGAGGAGCGAAAGCGUGGGGAGCGAACAGGAUUAGAUACCCUGGUAGUCCACGCCGUAAACGUUGGGAACUAGGUGUGGGCGACAUUCCACGUCGUCCGUGCCGCAGCUAACGCAUUAAGUUCCCCGCCUGGGGAGUACGGCCGCAAGGCUA